RNAcentral lists this ribosomal RNA (430 nucleotides) under Pseudomonadota bacterium. Its description in RNAcentral is "Proteobacteria bacterium partial 16S ribosomal RNA". It matches the Rfam family "Bacterial small subunit ribosomal RNA", at positions 355 to 776 of the family's 1533-position model. The record is from RNAcentral. Lineage: Bacteria; Pseudomonadati; Pseudomonadota.
UGGGGAAUAUUGGACAAUGGGGGGAACCCUGAUCCAGCCAUGCCGCGUGUGUGAAGAAGGCCUUAUGGUUGUAAAGCACUUUAAGCGAGGAGGAGGGUACUGGUAUUAAUACUACCAGGUACUGGACGUUACUCGCAGAAUAAGCACCGGCUAACUCUGUGCCAGCAGCCGCGGUAAUACAGAGGGUGCGAGCGUUAAUCGGAUUUACCGGGCGUAAAGCGUGCGUAGGCGGCUAAUUGAGUCGGAUGUGAAAUCCCCGAGCUUAACUUGGGAAUUGCAUUCGAUACUGGUUAGCUAGAGUGUGGUGGAGGAUGGUAGAAUUCCAGGUGUAGCGGUGAAAUGCGUAGAGCUCUGGAGGAAUACCGAUGGCAAAGACAGCCAUCUAGCCUAACACAGACGCUGAGGUACGAAAGCAUGGGGAGCAAACAGG